This 301-nucleotide ribosomal RNA is filed under the name uncultured bacterium. RNAcentral's name for it is "partial 16S ribosomal RNA". It matches the Rfam family "Bacterial small subunit ribosomal RNA", at positions 509 to 807 of the family's 1533-position model. The record is from RNAcentral.
CAGCAGCCACGGGAACACGGAGGGUGCAAGCGUUAAUCGGAAUUACUGGGCGUAAAGCGCACGCAGGCGGUCUGACAAGUCAGAUGUGAAGUCCCCGGGCUUAACCUGGGAACUGCAUUUGAAACUGUCAGGCUGGAGUCUUGUAGAGGGGGGUGGAAUUCCAGGUGUAGCGGUGAAAUGCGUAGAGAUCUGGAGGAAUACCGGUGGCGAAGGCGGCCCCCUGGACAAAGACUGACGCUCAGGUGCGAAAGCGUGGGGAGCAAACAGGAUUAGAUACCCCGGUAGUCCCUGUCUCUUAUAC